Molecule: ribosomal RNA, 727 nt
Filed under: Salmonella enterica subsp. enterica serovar Infantis
Lineage: Bacteria; Pseudomonadati; Pseudomonadota; Gammaproteobacteria; Enterobacterales; Enterobacteriaceae
Also listed under: 1 other name
Description: partial 23S ribosomal RNA
Rfam family: Bacterial large subunit ribosomal RNA
Source: RNAcentral
CAAGACGGAAAGACCCCGUGAACCUUUACUAUAGCUUGACACUGAACAUUGAGCCUUGAUGUGUAGGAUAGGUGGGAGGCUUUGAAGCGUGGACGCCAGUCUGCGUGGAGCCGACCUUGAAAUACCACCCUUUAAUGUUUGAUGUUCUAACGUGGACCCGUAAUCCGGGUUGCGGACAGUGUCUGGUGGGUAGUUUGACUGGGGCGGUCUCCUCCUAAAGAGUAACGGAGGAGCACGAAGGUUGGCUAAUCCUGGUCGGACAUCAGGAGGUUAGUGCAAUGGCAUAAGCCAGCUUGACUGCGAGCGUGACGGCGCGAGCAGGUGCGAAAGCAGGUCAUAGUGAUCCGGUGGUUCUGAAUGGAAGGGCCAUCGCUCAACGGAUAAAAGGUACUCCGGGGAUAACAGGCUGAUACCGCCCAAGAGUUCAUAUCGACGGCGGUGUUUGGCACCUCGAUGUCGGCUCAUCACAUCCUGGGGCUGAAGUAGGUCCCAAGGGUAUGGCUGUUCGCCAUUUAAAGUGGUACGCGAGCUGGGUUUAGAACGUCGUGAGACAGUUCGGUCCCUAUCUGCCGUGGGCGCUGGAGAACUGAGGGGGGCUGCUCCUAGUACGAGAGGACCGGAGUGGACGCAUCACUGGUGUUCGGGUUGUCAUGCCAAUGGCACUGCCCGGUAGCUAAAUGCGGAAGAGAUAAGUGCUGAAAGCAUCUAAGCACGAAACUUGCCCCGA